AUCGGAUGCACCUAAUAAUUUAUUGUGCUUCUAUGAUUCUGUUGCAUGCGCAAGCAUAAUCAGUUGUGGUAGGUCUAUUUUUCCUGUUACAUUUUUUUCCCCUUUCACAAUGGCAAUAGAUAGCGGAACUCUGAUUCAUAAGGCUGAAUUUCCGCCAUUUUUGUUGAAGGAUAUUUCGUUUCUCCAUUUAUGCACUCCAUCAUCAAUCUUUUGAGUGACCCAGAGCGCGGCAAUUGGCUAUAAAUCCAUUCCAGUAGUGAUUCCAUGCUGUCUGCAAAAUCUUGCAUGUGCCACUGCAGAAGCUUGGGAAUCACUAUUUUUCUCUUGCUUGUAACCCCAACUGAAGCUUCCAGAUACUCGACUUUCGCUUUCUCCAAUUCAUUCGUCACUUCUUCAGGUGUAUAAACCCUUAGUGCUGGGGAGGACCAAGUGCCCCUGCAAAGAGCAAAUGUCACGUUGGAUUCUGGAUACCCAAGACCAUAAGCAUGUCGUAGUAGCAUUUCCUUCUCAUCUGAAGGGCCAUGUUUUGAUUCACAUGGAUGCCGGAGAAUAAAAUGCUCGAUGGCCAAGGCAUUCAGCACUAUCCCGCCCACAUUCAAUGUAGCCUUGUUCAUGAUUGCCAACAGUUUCUCCUGUGAGGAAGGCAGUCCAUGCUCUAGAAAUGCCUGGAAAUUUCAUAAAAACAAGUACACUUGAUAUUGAUGUAUAAGACAUUUAUUUGAUUUGCAUGAUUUAGCUUAAGAUGUCUUACUGUACAUGCAUUAUGCUGGCGUUGUAGAUAUUGAUCCAAAAUGCUAGCUUCUGCUUGUAGGUCAAGAAUGUCAAUUCAACAUUACCUAAUUUAUGAAUUAAAACCCUGAAAGAAGUAGCAGAAUAUGACAUAAAUACUCAGAUAUGUCUGUUAAAAAAAUCAGUGUCUUCUCAGGAAAACUGUUGCAACCUCAAUUUUCCAGUUUGUGGCAAGCAUUCUGCAAAAUGACCGAUAUCUAACGAGUUUCUAGCAAUGUGGAUGAAGUUCUUGUAAGGUCCAAUGUCCCUGAUAGUGCUGUCUAAAUCUGGCAUAAUGCAAUAGGGAUCAAGAUUUGAUAUAUUGUGGUUGAAAGGAAACAUGCAUGCUUUACAGUUGAAAGAGGUCUUUGAGCUUUUUGAACUCAUACAUGAGAGGCCAAGCUUUGGGAUAAUGGCUGAUUCUUGUCUAUCCUUUGGUGCCUGCUUUAGAGCAAGAAAUAUGCCUAUUAGGCAUUUGAUUAGUUCUUCUGAGAGUUCAUUUGGUUUCUCAUCACAAAUCUCUUUAUACAUAUGGUGUUCCUUCUGCAUUCUACCUCUUCUUGAUUUUUCAUCGCUAGUGGAACCUGUGGAAAGCACAUAUGACAUUUCCUCUGCAGAACCCACUGAAGCUCUCCUUAAUUUCAUGUUCUCUUUCCUGAACUCUUUAUAAUGCUUUGAUCUAGAUAGGUGACCGGAAUCAUCAUCAAGCACCGAUGAAUUUCCCGGUCUGCAUGGUGGUAAAUGAUUCUGGUGCCUCAGUUUCCUCUGCUGCUUCCUUUGUAGUUUCCAUUUCUGAGUUUGUUUCCUCUCUUGGUACAAGUUCAGUUUCAGCUCAUCAACUUUUCUCUCUAGCCAUAGGAUCUCCUCCUCUACCAUUGCUAGUUCUGCAAGAAGCCCCUGAACCUGAGGUGGAAGCAAAGAGGCAAGACAUGGUUGUGAUGAGACAGGACCAUGGAGUGCACAGUAUAAGACCUUGUUUAUCAUCUGUUCCUCUUCAAAUUCUAAUCUUAAAUUUUCAACCUCCUUCUCUAGAUCAAGCCUUUUCUGCUUAUCAUCUUUUUGUUGCAUCAGGUAGUCUUCAAAUUUCAUUAUUGGGGAAGAGAAGGGAAAAGAAUCAAACUUGGCAAUCUCAGCGCAACAUUUUAGGUGCUGGCAAGUCAGAGACCCUUAAUAAAACAGAGAGGGAGGGUUCACUUGGAUCGUGGGUACCAUUAAGGGUUUAGUUAGAAGAGAAAAAGAAGAACUGAAAAAACUGAGGGCGUGGAAAUAAUGGAGUGGACAAAAGGGAGACUAACAAUGUGCGGUGGAAAGAAUCUUUAGCUGUAAAUGGAGGUGGUAG
Molecule: unclassified non-coding RNA, 2107 nt
Filed under: Hevea brasiliensis (rubber tree)
Lineage: Eukaryota; Viridiplantae; Streptophyta; Magnoliopsida; Malpighiales; Euphorbiaceae
Source: RNAcentral